CGCCCCCUAUACGUCAUCAUUGAGUAAACUUUGACCCGGAACCUCACAGUUAGCAGACACUUCCUGGGAGGGAGGGUCUGCUGCUGAUUGGGUGGAAUGUGUCUGCUGGCUGUGAGGUUCCGGGUCAAAGUUUACUCAAUGAUGACGUAUAGGAGGUG
RNAcentral lists this microRNA precursor (158 nucleotides) under Pelobates cultripes (western spadefoot toad). The record is from RNAcentral. Lineage: Eukaryota; Metazoa; Chordata; Amphibia; Anura; Pelobatidae.